ACUAAGGGAAGAGUGGCGGGCAAAAGUAGCCGAAGACGUCCAUUGAUUUCUUUCACUUUCGGUUCCGCUAGACUGCAGCUGCUUUCAAUACGUAUGAAACGGCUUUGACUUGGAGCUACGAGGCUGGGUUUUCUGAAAUUAAGUCAUCAUCCAUCAAGUGAUGAAUUGCGUUUUGCCGGUGCAGGAACAACCGCUUUAAUGCACUUGGGAGACUGUGACGGCGAGGUGGAAGCCAAACCAGUAAAUGAAAAAACAUUAGCAGUAGUGCACUUUUUCAUGGCAGGGUGAGAACAGAUUUGGUCCGGUCGCUUUUCUUACUAGCUUGAGGUGGCUGUUUGGUAAAAGGUGAUGUCAUCUAUGUCUUUGCACCAAUCAGGGGUUUGGUGAGAAACAGCCACCCUGGCUCAUGUCUUCCAUUACCUGAAAACCUCACCAAUUAGCAUCUCAGUGUAUCCGAGUUGUCUUUUUUUGUUAUGGGAGGUGUGUGCAUCUAUUUGUUGUCAAGCAACAUUAGCAACUGAGUGAGACUCAGCACUUCUUCCAGGUGUUUUCCGGUGUGUGUGGUGCAGGUGGACCAUGCAGGAAUCUUGAAUGGGUUUAAAUCAGAGAUUUACACUCUGACAGCCUCAGCUUUUCAGAGUAGUGGUCAGUUCGUGGACGUCCUGGUUCGGACCUCGGUCCGACCUAAGUCUGCAACAAACACCCCUUAGAGUCACAACGUGCCGGUUGGUUGCGCCGGUAACCUGCGACAAAACAAACUGGGUGACACUUUGGUCGCCUUGGUUUAAGAUCUGGCCCCUAAAGCGCAUCCCAACCAGAUGUCAAAAUCAAUACGGCAAUGUCACCAGGCCCGCAACCAGGAGUAAUGACGGCCCCUGAGCCUGCUCGGAAGCCAUGCACGUGCACGCCCUUAAAGGCGGCCGCCUCGCUCCCCCACUCCUUCGUCAUAUCAUCAAGCCCCAUCAGCUAGGCUUAAUGGGAGGCCGAUCAAUACGUGGCAGGGGUCGAGGUGAGGAGGCGAGUACAGGCGCGCGCCCCGUGACACUUGUACUAAUGCCGCCACGAGCCGCCGCCGCUCCACCCGUCACUGUCAAACCGGCGGUCCCGCCCCGUUGUCCUUAUCACACGCCGUCCUCUAAGCCACUCGCUAUCGCUACGGCGGGACCACGGGUGAUAAGGGAGGCCGAGGGUCAAUCCCUCUUGAUACUGCCGCUUGUGCAGUCAAGUGGCAGGAAACAAGUUCCACCUGCCAUCCGGAGGAGAUGAACGGCAGAUCGGGCGCCGCGGCCCGGUUGGAUGGAGCGCGGGGGGUCCGCGUCCAGUCCGUCCCAUCGCCCUAACCCCUCAUUACGGCCCAGUUUAUCAUGCCAGGAAGAGUGGCAAAAACGUAUUAGUCCUCAGGAGGGUAAAACAGCCGCGGAUAUCGAUUUCGCCCUUUCAUGCCAGAGUGGAGCGCGGAAAAAUAUUGGGCUAUAAAAGGGAAACAAGGAUAUAAAGCCAUUACGCCGCGCACUUAAUUGAUCCCACUUCCCAUAACAAAUUAAUUGAGCGGAAAAUGGCAGAUGGCUUUGAUGAAUGUCAUAAAAAAGGCUUGUCGGCGAGCCCGCUGCGUGCGCCGCCCUUUGCUCGCGCGCUGUAUCGCAUGAAAGAUCGCUACGGGAGGAAGCGCAGUGUGUGUGCGUUUCCUCCGGUAUUUACAUCCCGGCGAUCCCGAUGUUAAUCACGUUGACUUAUUGACACCACCGCUAAUUGUCUACUUCCUUUCUGUGUCGUUCGUUUUUUCUUUUCUCUUUUCUCAUUGUCUUGUUUCUUUCCCUCCGCGUUCCUUCACUGCGGUCGGUGUACAGGUGCAUGUCGGUUUGCCCACGUGGGAGUGAGAGUGAGUGAGUGUGUGAGUGUGUGUGUGUGUGUUUCAGUGUGUUUAUACUGACAGGCUGCUGCCCCAGUAGCAGAACAAAUGCUAAUUUAAUCAAUUGGCCAUAAAUCCUACUGGCCGCUGACUCAUGCGUCUUCUGCCCUGGGGACUCCAACAAAAACCCUGCCAGUGCAGUUUGUACAGCGUCCACACACACACACACACACACACAGACAGCGUCCAUUUCCAUUCUCAUGCGUUCCGUCUUCCACGACUGGAACAUUAGAAUUACUUUCAAAUAACUGGAAAGUAUCAACACUCGUGCAGAUGUUGACACACUGGGAUAAUUGCUGUUUUUAUUCCCCUCGGCAAUUCCACAGCUGUGCAGACAGCUUAUGGAAGCUGCAAUUGAUCCACGUUAGCGCUCACACACACACACACACACACACCAGACAGACACAGCUAACUUUCCCUGCAAAACAUCAGAUUAUUUAUUAGAGCGCGUUCCCCCUCACUUUUAUCCCUCAGCAUCACACACACACACACACACACACACACACACAUAAUGCACCUGCAGUUUCAUGACAUCCGAAGCUGCUGAGACAGCGUCUUCCUGGGGGGGGUGAGACUGGUUGGGAGGCACAGUGGGGCGAUAGAGUGACAGACGGACAGAGAGAACAUGGAAUGCUGAAAGCGGCAGAGUGACAGAGAGAGGAAAAAAAUGCCAGAAAGAGCAACAGAGCGAUAAAGAAAAGUCAGUAAAGAAGAAAAAAAAAAGAAGGAAAAAAAGGGUGACAAGAGAGAGAGAGAGAGGGAGAGAGAGAGAGAGAAGUGAGGAGAGAGGAGCUGGUGUCGGUACCCACAGGCUCUGCUCGCGAUUCUGCAGGGCCUCUGUGGCCCAGUGUUCCCCAUCAAUCUCAGCCAGCUCUGGCAGCCGCCAGCGGCUGCAUCUUAAUCUGCCGGGGCCGGACGUGAGGACGGACAGGUCGCCUGGGCCGCCCAGUAAAUAACCCCUCUCCUGACUGUCCCCUUCUAUUCCCCUGUGAGGAGACACGGAAACGCACAUUCGGGGCUUCUCAUUCUUGGCACAAAUAUUUCUGCCUCCUCUCGCUUUUCUGAGCUCCGGGGCGGGUUUUGGCGCAUUGAAUAUGCACGCUGCGUGGUUAGAGAGUCAAAUGUUCCGCGGUCAGAGGUGCAAAAAGUAUAAAUAUAAAGACAUUGCAAACAUGUUUGAUCAAGUACUUGAGUUUAUGGAUUUAUAUAAAGAUAUAUAUGUUUCAUCCUGUGUUUCGUGGAGUGUCCAUGAGACCAAGAAAACAAAACGCAUUAAAAAACAUUCUGAGCAAAGCUGGAUGGAUGAAAUCAAUUCAGCCAAUCAAAAAGAGAAGAUCCUUCUGUUAAAUGAAACAUUUGUAGAUAAACAGAUAUUAUAUCUCUUCUAGCGAAUUGCAAACACCCCGACUCUUCAUGUCUGAAAUAUGUUAUUAAUCAUAAGUAACAUGCUAUAUGCAACAUCUCUAGAAUCACGGGUACCUUCCUCUCUUUUAGAGGGCGGGGGGCGGAUUUUAAAAGCCGCCGUUCACAUCUUCCAUUGCUCACUGUGAUAUAUCGCUGUGACCCGCACACACACACACACACACACACACACACACCCACACACACAGUAGCCUUCUCUGUUUGACAGAUGACCUUACGCUCUGUGUCAGUGGGCUGCAGUGUCUGCCUCUGUUGGGAGUCAUAGUGUCCAGAAUGACAUGUUGUGACGGGAAGGAGCAUUGCAGCAAGCGCAGACACACACACACACACACACACACUCCAGCACCUAGCCCAUCAUGGGUGUGUUUCUGUCUUGCCCUCCUACUGCCUCACUGAGAGAGAGAAACAGCAACAAGAGGAGGGGGGGGGGUGUCGAUUUUCAUUUGAGGAUAAAAACAGGCUGGUACAAGUCGUACAUCAAAAUGCACUUUCUGUGCAAAAAGUGUCAGCGUUUUUUUUUUUUGCCCUUCUGACAUUGAACUUGCGCUGGACGAGACGGCUUCAGACGGAACGCGGCAGAGUGCGGUAAGAAGAGCCCGCCUGAAGCCAAAGAACCAUGAAGACACACCAAAGUGUUUUAAGACAGUGCUUAAAAGGAACGGGGGGAAAUUGGCGACCAUCGCUGCCGUGUUUUAAAGUGCCGGUUAGGAUACUCUAAAAGAGGCCUUGUCCGUGAGUUUGGUCUGAAUCCCAAUCACGGUACCCGCCAUGGAACGCUCAACCAGACAGUGAACAUCUUUGCACGUCAAUGGAUGGAACGUUUCUACAGGCUACAGCUGCAGCUAAAAACUAUGCUCGGCCUCAACGAACAGCAAAGUUUUGUGUGCAUCUCUUAAAAUAACAUCCGGGCGCCAACGACUCUUUCCAGGUAUUUUACGAUCAUUUGAAUAUUGCAUUAGCGCGGACUCGAAGGGUAACCUUUAAGAAAAGGCAGAAAGGACGGUCAGGCGGAGGAGGCAGGGGGGAGGGACGCAGGCGAAAAAGAACUCCUUGCGGCUGGGGGAGGCGGGGAUGGAGAGAGAGAGGGAGGGAGGGAGGUGACACCUUGACGGAUUGAUUGCGAUCGCCCAAUACACGUUGUUGCCCGCAGCCUAGAUUAGCAGGAGGUCCGGGUCAGCACAAUCUCGGCGUGUUAGAUAACUCUCCCGCCUCGCAGCCGCAGCUCGAUGCUGCACCUCAGCCGCACAACGUUUGCUCGCUGGGUAUCUCUGAAACUCACGUCUUCGGGUUUGAGAGCCCUCUGUGUGUGCGUGCGCGUGCACGAUGGAGGGAGGCAGACUGUGGGGCCCGGUAUCCAUGGCAACCUCUGCCAGGUGCGACUGGUUCAUAUGCGGUUCAGGUAAUUCCACCCACAAUGAAGAGCGUGCAUUUAAGGUCAGCAGUAUUCAAAUGCACCG
Gasterosteus aculeatus aculeatus (three-spined stickleback) is the source of this 4788-nucleotide long non-coding RNA. The record is from Ensembl. NCBI's taxonomy places the organism in Eukaryota, Metazoa, Chordata, Actinopteri, Perciformes, Gasterosteidae.